This 91-nucleotide transfer RNA is filed under the name Bacillota bacterium. RNAcentral describes it as "tRNA-Ser". It matches the Rfam family "tRNA". From Rfam's summary of the family: Transfer RNA (tRNA) molecules are approximately 80 nucleotides in length. Their secondary structure includes four short double-helical elements and three loops (D, anti-codon, and T loops). Further hydrogen bonds mediate the characteristic L-shaped molecular structure. tRNAs have two regions of fundamental functional importance: the anti-codon, which is responsible for specific mRNA codon recognition, and the 3' end, to which the tRNAs corresponding amino acid is attached (by aminoacyl-tRNA synthetases). tRNAs cope with the degeneracy of the genetic code in two manners: having more than one tRNA (with a specific anti-codon) for a particular amino acid; and 'wobble' base-pairing, i.e. permitting non-standard base-pairing at the 3rd anti-codon position. The record is from RNAcentral. Lineage: Bacteria; Bacillati; Bacillota.
GGAGAGAUGGCUGAGCGGUUGAAAGCGCCCGCCUCGAAAGCGGGUAGGCGCAUUGCGCGCCUCUCGGGUUCGAAUCCCGAUCUCUCCGCCA